This 443-nucleotide ribosomal RNA is filed under the name uncultured bacterium. RNAcentral's name for it is "partial 16S ribosomal RNA". It matches the Rfam family "Bacterial small subunit ribosomal RNA", at positions 338 to 795 of the family's 1533-position model. The record is from RNAcentral.
CCUACGUGUGGCAGCAGUGAGGAAUAUUGGUCAAUGGACGAGAGUCUGAACCAGCCAAGUAGCGUGAAGGAAGAAGGCCCUCGGGUUGUAAACUUCUUUUAUUCGGGACGAAACAAAUGACGGUACCGAAUGACUAAGCCACGGCUAACUACGUGCCAGCAGCCGCGGUAAUAAGUAGGUGGCAAGCGUUCACCGGAUUUACUGGGUGUAAAGGGCGUGUAGGCGGGAGAGCAAGUCAGACGUGAAAUUCCAGGGCUCAACCCUGGAACUGCGUUUGAAACUGUUCUUCUUGCGAGAUGGAGAGGCAGGCGGAAUUCCGUGUGUAGCGGUGAAAUGCGUAGAUAUACGGAGGAACACCAGUGGCGAAGGCGGCCUGCUGGACAUUAACUGACGCUGAGGCGCGAAAGCGUGGGGAGCAAACAGGAUUAGAUACCCGGGUAGUC